GCUCUGAGUAGGUGAGCAACUUGCAUCUUAAGGAAGAGAAAAUCAAGCUAGAUGUCAAGGGUGCUAUUGUUAAGACCAAUACUAAUGAAAAAGGACAGAUAAACAGAAAGAGACUAGCGUUGCCCAGUUUUUACCAAAGAAGCUCAUUCUGAACUAACGUUAUCAGUAAUAUAAACCAAAUGGGAUUCCUGAGAGGGUUCUAAAUUCUUUACUCAAUGAUGUCAUUUGGAGAGCUUUGACUGAAACCCUAACUUUUUCAGGGAAUCUAAUUCAUGCUCUUCAUCUGUCAAUUCAAGACAGGACAAUGCAUCACCUUUAAUGGUCUCUGAACCUACACAGAACCUGAUUCCCCAGUCUCUAUCUUGUGUUCAUAAAAGAGCUGCCUUUGUCUUGGUCAUGCUCAGAGAAGAGAAACCAGCAAUUAUACGCUCCAGGUGUUUGCAUCUCUUCCCAGUGUAUGAGCUCACACUUUGAACAGAAAAAGUGAUGGAGCAGAUCAUAAAAUAUUUCCCUGAACUUAAGCUAGCAUAUGCUAUGCGA
RNAcentral lists this long non-coding RNA (540 nucleotides) under Homo sapiens (human). Its description in RNAcentral is "non-protein coding lnc-PTGS2-10:1". Lineage: Eukaryota; Metazoa; Chordata; Mammalia; Primates; Hominidae. The record is from RNAcentral.